CACAUGCAAGUCGAGGGGUAAGGUUCUCUUCGGAGAAUACACGACCGGCGCACGGGUGAGUAACGCGUAUGCAACCUACCUAUAACACAAGGAUAGCGCCCGGAAACGGGAAUUAAUACUUGAUGACAUUCAAAGAUGGCAUCAUCAAUGAAUCAAAGUUCCGGCGGUUAUAGAUGGGCAUGCGUGACAUUAGCUAGUUGGUGAGGUAGAGGCUCACCAAGGCGACGAUGUCUAGGGGGUCUGAGAGGAUGAUCCCCCACACUGGUACUGAGACACGGACCAGACUCCUACGGGAGGCAGCAGUGAGGAAUAUUGCGCAAUGGAGGAAACUCUGACGCAGCCAUCCCGCGUGCAGGAUUGACGGCCCUAUGGGUAGUAAACUGCUUUGCUAUACCAAGAAACACCGAUACGUGUAUCGGUUUGCCGGUAGUAUAGGAAUAAGCAUCGGCUAACUCCGUGCCAGCAGCCGCGGUAAUACGGAGGAUGCAAGCGUUAUCCGGAAUCACUGGGU
This 511-nucleotide ribosomal RNA is filed under the name uncultured organism. RNAcentral describes it as "bacterial SSU rRNA". It matches the Rfam family "Bacterial small subunit ribosomal RNA", at positions 52 to 559 of the family's 1533-position model. The record is from RNAcentral.